This 468-nucleotide ribosomal RNA is filed under the name uncultured bacterium. RNAcentral's name for it is "partial 16S ribosomal RNA". It matches the Rfam family "Bacterial small subunit ribosomal RNA", at positions 28 to 507 of the family's 1533-position model. The record is from RNAcentral.
GACGAACGCUGGCGGCGUGCUUAACACAUGCAAGUCGAACGGAAAGGCCCUGCUUUUGUGGGGUGCUCGAGUGGCGAACGGGUGAGUAACACGUGAGUAACCUGCCCUUGACUUUGGGAUAACUUCAGGAAACUGGGGCUAAUACCGGAUAGGAGCUCCUGCUGCAUGGUGGGGGUUGGAAAGUUUCGGCGGUUGGGGAUGGACUCGCGGCUUAUCAGCUUGUUGGUGGGGUAGUGGCUUACCAAGGCUUUGACGGGUAGCCGGCCUGAGAGGGUGACCGGCCACAUUGGGACUGAGAUACGGCCCAGACUCCUACGGGAGGCAGCAGUGGUGAAUAUUGCACAAUGGGCGGAAGCCUGAUGCAGCAACGCCGCGUGCGGGAUGACGGCCUUCGGGUUGUAAACCGCUUUCGCCUGUGACGAAGCGUGAGUGACGGUAAUGGGUAAAGAAGCACCGGCUAACUACGUG